UGGAAAUGUCCAUUAUGCUCAAGUUGACAGCCAUUAGAGUACAGGUAAUCUAUUCUUUUUUUUCCUCCACCAUUUUCCCCAACCUGUACUUGUUCAAAAAGACCAGCUAUUAAUUGAGGACGGACUUUAGAUUUUCUUUAUUUAACUUAUUGAUUUUGUAUGUUUGUUUGUUUUCUUUUACUUUAAUCUAUAGCUCUUUUUAUGUGUAUAUAUAUCUAUGGCAUAAGUUAUUCUCUCCUCACCUACAUGUGUAUUUACUAAUGUAUUUUUUAAUUCAUUUAUGUUAGAUAUAUUUAUUUAAUUAAGAAAGUCCUCCAAGAUUAGUGCUAUGUCAGAGCUGCUGUAAGUCACUGUUAAUUCCAGAAACAUCACCUUCAUUCAUAAGCAGUGCAAUCACAUGCUGCCCAUUAACCGGUCUGAACCCAGCCUCUUGAAGUCUAUGUUAUGGGGACUCACUGGUGUGACAAGUCUGCAGUCCUUUGUUAAGUCUGCAGCUGCAUGUGAAGCCUGUGAGGCUAAAGUCUGGUGGAAGUUGGUGGAGAUUGGGUUUUUGGACUGGAAAGUUAUCAUGGAGCCAAAUACUUUAUCUUUUGUCAUGACGAUGGUGAGGUGUGGACGAUUUAGCUCCCACAGACUGCUCCAGUCAUUAAAGCUAGGGUGAAUACCAAAACCCUCCAGACUGGAGGACUAGUACCGGGCCUACCGGCAGUCACUGCAGGUUCAUGUUUUAAAAAAAGAUGAUGGACAAAGGAAGAAGGAAAGGAAAGAGCAGAAACACCGACAAACAAGAGAAAUGAACAAAACCAAAUAAAGAAGGAGAGGAGAGGACAAGAAGAAGCAGCAAAGGAGAAUAAGGAGAAGACAGAUAAGAGGAGGAGGGGAGUACAGCAGAGGAGGGAACAGGAGCUGAAUGUAUAUGUUCCUGCUGUAAAUCCCACCAAAUCCUCCAUGCACCUCUGGAGACCUCUCGCACAGCCGUUUCUUUCAUCUUCUCUUUCCAUCUUAUUUCUCCCUUACUCUCAGCUUUCCGUUACCUCUACACAUGCUCCAGAUUUACUGUUUUGUUUUUGUAGACCCAAGCUCAGUGGGAAUCGCAGAAAUGAUG
Siniperca chuatsi (mandarin fish) is the source of this 1105-nucleotide long non-coding RNA. RefSeq lists it as uncharacterized. The transcript is spliced from 3 exons. The record is from RefSeq and is a predicted model, not a curated record. NCBI's taxonomy places the organism in Eukaryota, Metazoa, Chordata, Actinopteri, Centrarchiformes, Sinipercidae.